Molecule: ribosomal RNA, 1244 nt
Filed under: metagenome
Description: bacterial LSU rRNA
Rfam family: Bacterial large subunit ribosomal RNA
Source: RNAcentral
UGAAUACGAGAUGCUACGGCGUCGAAGCAGUCUAUGUCACACUUCCAAGAAAAGCUUGCACUGUCAUAAACAAAUAAUGCCUGUACCAUAACCGACACAGGUGGGUAGGUAGAGUAUACUAAGGGGCGCGAGAUAACUCUCUCUAAGGAACUCGGCAAAAUGACUCCGUAACUUCGGGAGAAGGAGUGCCUUAUUUAUAAGGUUGCAAUAACAAGAUCCAAGCAACUGUUUACCAAAAACACAGGUCUCCGCUAAGUCGUAAGACGAUGUAUGGGGGCUGACGCCUGCCCAGUGCCAGAAGGUUAAAGAAGUUGGUUAGCAUCCGCGAAGCUGAUAACUGAAGCCCUGGUGAACGGCGGCCGUAACGAUAACGGUCCUAAGGUAGCGAAAUUCCUUGUCGGGUAAGUUCCGACCCGCACGAAAGGCGUAAUGAUUUGGAUACUGUCUCGGAGAGGGGCUCGGUGAAAUAGACUUGUCUGUGAAGAUGCGGACUACCUGCACCAGGACAGAAAGACCCUAUGAAGCUUUACUGUAACCUGAAAUUGAAAUUGGACUUUACUUGCGCAGUAUAGGUGGGAGGCGUUGAGAAUAUUCUUGCGGGAUUAUUGGAGCCAUCAGUGAGAUACCACUCUUGUAAUGUUAGAUUUCUGACUUUGUAUCAUUAUCUGGUCAAAGAACAGUUUCAGGCGGGCAGUUUGACUGGGGCGGUCGCCUCCUAAACGGUAACGGAGGCGCACAAAGGUUUCCUCUGAACGGGUAGAAAUCGUAUCUAGAGUGUAAAGGCAUAAGGAAGCUUGACUGUGAGACCUACAAGUCGAGCAGGGACGAAAGUCGGUCUUAGUGAUCUGACGGUGCUGAGUGGAAAGGCCGUCACUCAACGGAUAAAAGUUACUCUAAGGAUAACAGGCUGAUCUCCCCCAAGAGUUCACAUCGACGGGGAGGUUUGGCACCUCGAUGUCGGCUCAUCGCAUCCUGGGGCGGUAGUACGUCCCAAGGGUUGGGCUGUUCGCCCAUGAAAGCGGUACGCGAGCUGGGUUCAGAACGUCGUGAGACAGUUCGGUCCAUAUCCGGUGUAGGCGUUAGAAUAUUGAGAGGAGCCUUCUUUAGUACGAGAGGACCGAGAAGGACAUACCUCUGGUGUACCAGUUAUCGUGCCAACGGUAAACGCUGGGUAGCUAUGUGUGGAGUGGAUAACCGCUGAAAGCAUCUAAGUGGGAAGCCCACCUCAAGAUAAGUAUUCUCAU